CCCCCGGAAGUGCUUGUCUAGGGUUCGGGCCGGAGAGAGGCCUUGAAGACACAGCCGCCCAGGCUCCGUCGGCUCCGAGUCCGGGGCUUCUGGUGGCGGAGAGAUCGCGGAGCUCCGCGGCCGCCACCCCGCGCGCUCGCAAGCGCCUUCGUACCCACGAAAUGGCCAUCAAGAAGUAGAUGCCCAGAUGUAACGGUGAAGAAAAUCCACAUGUCAUGAAGUAAGAUGCAGAAUAGUUUUCACCCAGAUGAGGACAAGAUUGCAUCUGUUUUUU
Acomys russatus (golden spiny mouse) is the source of this 274-nucleotide long non-coding RNA. RefSeq lists it as uncharacterized. NCBI's taxonomy places the organism in Eukaryota, Metazoa, Chordata, Mammalia, Rodentia, Muridae. The record is from RefSeq and is a predicted model, not a curated record. The transcript has 3 exons.